AGCGAACGCUGGCGGCAGGCUUAACACAUGCAAGUCGAGCGGUCACUGCGGUGUCAUCGGCAGAUUGCUGAGUAACACGUGGGAACGUACCCUUCGGUUCGGAAUAACGCUGGGAAACUAGCGCUAAUAUCGGAUACGUCGUUUUUGGGGAAUGACUACUGCCGAAGGAUCAGCCCGGAUGUGGUUAGCCAGUAGGUGGGGUAAUGGCUCAUCGAGGCGACGAGCAGUAGCUGGUCUGAGAGGACGAUCAGCCACACUGGAACUGAGACACGGCCCAGACUCCGACGGGAGGCAGCAGUGGGGAAUAUUGCACAAUGGGCGCAAGCCUGAUGCAGCCAGGCCGCGUGUAUGAAGAAGGCCUUCGGGUUGUAAAGUACUUUCAGCGGGGAGGAAGGGAGUAAAGUUAAUACCUUUGCUCAUUGACGUUACCCGCAGAAGAAGCACCGGCUAACUCCGUG
This 458-nucleotide ribosomal RNA is filed under the name uncultured bacterium. RNAcentral's name for it is "partial 16S ribosomal RNA". It matches the Rfam family "Bacterial small subunit ribosomal RNA", at positions 29 to 507 of the family's 1533-position model. The record is from RNAcentral.